This 889-nucleotide ribosomal RNA is filed under the name uncultured bacterium. RNAcentral describes it as "bacterial SSU rRNA". It matches the Rfam family "Bacterial small subunit ribosomal RNA", at positions 21 to 905 of the family's 1533-position model. The record is from RNAcentral.
GGCUCAGAACGAACGCUGGCGGCGCGCCUAAUACAUGCAAGUCGAACGAGAAUGUGUAGCAAUACACAUGUACAGUGGCGAACGGGUGAGGAAUACAUGGGUAACCUACCCUCGAGUGGGGAAUAACUAGCCGAAAGGUUAGCUAAUACCGCGUACGCCUCCUGGACUGCGGUUCGGGAGGGAAAGCGAUACCGUGGGUAUCGCGCUCUUGGAUGGGCUCAUGUCCUAUCAGCUUGUUGGUGAGGUAACGGCUCACCAAGGCUUCGACGGGUAGCUGAUCUGAGAGGAUGAUCAGCCACACUGGCACUGCGACACGGGCCAGACUCCUACGGGAGGCAGCAGUAAGGAAUAUUGCGCAAUGGGCGAAAGCCUGACGCAGCGACGCCGCGUGGGGGAUGAAGGUCUUCGGAUUGUAAACCCCUUUCGGGAGGGAAGAUGGGAUGGGGUAACCCAUUCGGACGGUACCUCCAGAAGCAGCCACGGCUAACUUCGUGCCAGCAGCCGCGGUAAUACGAAGGUGGCAAGCGUUGUUCGGAUUUACUGGGCGUACAGGGAGCGUAGGCGGUUGGGUAAGCCCUCCGUGAAAUCUCCAGGCUUAACCUGGAAAGUGCAGAGGGGACUGCUCAGCUAGAGGAUGGGAGAGGAGCGCGGAAUUCCCGGUGUAGCGGUGAAAUGCGUAGAGAUCGGGAGGAAGGCCGGUGGCGAAGGCGGCGCUCUGGAACAUUUCUGACGCUGAGGCUCGAAAGCGUGGGGAGCAAACAGGAUUAGAUACCCUGGUAGUCCACGCCUUAAACGAUGGAUACUAAGUGUCGGCGGGUUACCGCCGGUGCCGCAGCUAACGCAGUAAGUAUCCCGCCUGGGAAGUACGGCCCGCAGGGUGAAACUCAAA